Molecule: non-coding RNA, 75 nt
Organism: Myotis davidii
Lineage: Eukaryota; Metazoa; Chordata; Mammalia; Chiroptera; Vespertilionidae
Source: Rfam
GGCGGAGCUCAGGUGAUGCACCCCAGAAUCAGGCUCCCUCCUCUCUGGUUCUGGGUGCAUCCCCCAAGAACCACA